This is a long non-coding RNA of Olea europaea var. sylvestris, 1077 nucleotides long. RefSeq lists it as uncharacterized. The record is from RefSeq and is a predicted model, not a curated record. Lineage: Eukaryota; Viridiplantae; Streptophyta; Magnoliopsida; Lamiales; Oleaceae. The transcript has 4 exons.
CAAUUGAUUAAUAUUAUUGAUCCUCAUAUGAGAAGACUAUAAAUAUUGGUUUGUGGGUUUUUGUUUUUUAGCCAUGGAUUAUAACUUAGUCGACAAUGAGUCGUUUAUUGCACGCAUCAAACAAUUGGAGCACGGUGCACAUGCUCAUCAAUUCAACUGUUUUAAGAAUUAUCUUUUAUACGCUACAAAAUAUUUUUCCCUGGAUUGAUUGUUUGUGUGUAUCAUUGGAACAAGAAGAAUAUUUUGUGCUAUACCCUACUUGUUUGAAUUCUUUGGACUUCUGAGACAAAGUUUCAAUGGGCCUGUGAUGUAUAAGUUGAUUAUGUGUUUACUACUGGCAAAGUUCAUAAUCAGGCACUAAGUUAUGAGGAGGAGAAUUCAGGAUUUAAAUGUACUUGACAUUUUGUGGUUAGGGGACAUAUUGAGAAUACAAAUCGUAAUUAGGAUUAUUGUGAAUGUUCUUUCCUAAUUCAACAAUGUGGCUGCAUUUUAGCAUUUGCUUAUGCUGUCACAAAGUUUACAGUAGCCAGGGUCUUGGUUGUUUAUCUGUUAUUUUAUUGAUUUUUAUAUAGAACGUGAUCAGUUGCAUAAAGAUAUUGAACAGUUGUGCGUGCAGCAAGCUGGAUCUGCUUAUCUUGGUGUUGCCACUAGAAUGCAUUUCCAGAUGUGGACAACUGGAUUGGAGCAAGAGAUUGAAAACCUGAAAAAGAAGUUGGCUACUUGCACAAGAGAAAAUCAAAAUCUUCAAUAAGAGCUAUCAAAGGCUUAUAUAUUGAAGCGGCGAUACGGAUAUCGGGACAGUAUACCAAUCGAGUUGAUUUUGACGUACAUAGUUCUGCAGCAGUUGAGAAUCUCGGCAUCUUUUGGAGUUGAGCCUUGAUUUUGGAGUCGUAGCCACACGACAGAGUUUGCUAGUAUGACUCACUUCAUAGAACAUGUAGUCAAUAUUUUGGGACGCAUGUUCAUGUCUAGACGUGAUUUUGCAUCAGUUGUAGAUAGUUAUGGGGCUCACUAUGUAUUAUAUAUCCAUAUGUAUAUUUCAUUGUAGUUCUUAGUAAAAGUGAAGAUUUCAGUUUA